AUACGGAGGAUGCGAGCGUUAUCCGGAUUUAUUGGGUUUAAAGGGAGCGUAGGUGGGAUAUUAAGUCAGCUGUGAAAGUUUGGGGCUCAACCUUAAAAUUGCAGUUGAUACUGGUUUCCUUGAGUACAGUAGAGGUGGGCGGAAUUCGUGGUGUAGCGGUGAAAUGCUUAGAUAUCACGAAGAACUCCGAUUGCGAAGGCAGCUCACUGGACUGCAACUGACACUGAUGCUCGAAAGUGUGGGUAUCAAACAGGAUUAGAUACCCUGGUAGUCCACACAGUAAACGAUGAAUACUCGCUGUUUGCGAUAUACAGUAAGCGGCCAAGCGAAAGCAUUAAGUAUUCCACCUGGGGAGUACGCCGGCAACGGUGAAACUCAAAUGAACUGACGGGG
RNAcentral lists this ribosomal RNA (393 nucleotides) under uncultured bacterium. RNAcentral describes it as "partial 16S ribosomal RNA". It matches the Rfam family "Bacterial small subunit ribosomal RNA", at positions 523 to 918 of the family's 1533-position model. The record is from RNAcentral.